AUUGAACGCUGGCGGCAGGCUUAACACAUGCAAGUCGAGCGGAGAGAGGUAGCUUGCUACUGAUCUUAGCGGCGGACGGGUGAGUAAUGCUUAGGAAUCUGCCUAUUAGUGGGGGACAACAUUUCGAAAGGAAUGCUAAUACCGCAUACGUCCUACGGGAGAAAGCAGGGGAUCUUCGGACCUUGCGCUAAUAGAUGAGCCUAAGUCGGAUUAGCUAGUUGGCGGGGUAAAGGCCUACCAAGGCGACGAUCUGUAGCGGGUCUGAGAGGAUGAUCCGCCACACUGGGACUGAGACACGGCCCAGACUCCUACGGGAGGCAGCAGUGGGGAAUAUUGGACAAUGGGCGGAAGCCUGAUCCAGCCAUGCCGCGUGUGUGAAGAAGGCCUUAUGGUUGUAAAGCACUUUAAGCGAGGAGGAGGCUACUUUAGUUAAUACCUAGAGAUAGUGGACGUUACUCGCAGAAUAAGCACCGGCUAACUACGUGCCAGCAGCCGCCGUAA
This 501-nucleotide ribosomal RNA is filed under the name uncultured bacterium. RNAcentral describes it as "partial 16S ribosomal RNA". It matches the Rfam family "Bacterial small subunit ribosomal RNA", at positions 30 to 523 of the family's 1533-position model. The record is from RNAcentral.